UACGAAGGGGGCAAGCGUUGUUCGGAAUUACUGGGCGUAAAGGGCGCGUAGGCGGCCUUCUAAGUCGAACGUGAAAUCCCCGGGCUCAACCCGGGAACUGCGUCCGAUACUGGAAGGCUAGAAUCCGGGAGAGGGAUGCGGAAUUCCAGGUGUAGCGGUGAAAUGCGUAGAUAUCUGGAGGAACACCGGUGGCGAAGGCGGCAUCCUGGACCGGUAUUGACGCUGAGGCGCGAAAGCCAGGGGAGCAAACGGG
This 253-nucleotide ribosomal RNA is filed under the name uncultured bacterium. RNAcentral's name for it is "partial 16S ribosomal RNA". It matches the Rfam family "Bacterial small subunit ribosomal RNA", at positions 524 to 776 of the family's 1533-position model. The record is from RNAcentral.